This 95-nucleotide small RNA is filed under the name Escherichia coli. Its description in RNAcentral is "partial RtT sRNA". It matches the Rfam family "RtT RNA", at positions 35 to 130 of the family's 130-position model. From Rfam's summary of the family: This family represents a bacterial cis-regulatory element known as RtT RNA. The exact function of RtT is unknown although it is thought that it may be involved in changing the cellular response in relation to amino acid starvation. RNAcentral also lists the same sequence under 1 other name. Lineage: Bacteria; Pseudomonadati; Pseudomonadota; Gammaproteobacteria; Enterobacterales; Enterobacteriaceae. The record is from RNAcentral.
GCAGCAGGUUUGAGUUGAGCGCAGCGAAACAACGGAGCCGCUCGCGGCGACGGCCCGAAGGGCGAGCGAAGCGAGUCAUCCUGCACGACCCACCA